This 253-nucleotide ribosomal RNA is filed under the name uncultured bacterium. RNAcentral's name for it is "partial 16S ribosomal RNA". It matches the Rfam family "Bacterial small subunit ribosomal RNA", at positions 524 to 776 of the family's 1533-position model. The record is from RNAcentral.
UACGUAGGGUGCGAGCGUUAAUCGGAAUUAUUGGGCGUAAAGCGUGCGCAGGCGGAAAUAUAAGACAGAUGUGAAAUCCUUGGGCUUAACCUGAGAACUGCAUUUGUGACUGUAUAUCUUGAGUGUAUUAGAGGGGGGUAGAAUUCCACGUGUAGCAGUGAAAUGCGUAGAGAUGUGGAGGAAUACCGAUGGCGAAGGCAGCCCCCUGGAGUACAACUGACGCUCAUGCACGAAAGCGUGGGGAGCAAACAUG